RNAcentral lists this ribosomal RNA (423 nucleotides) under uncultured bacterium. Its description in RNAcentral is "bacterial SSU rRNA". It matches the Rfam family "Bacterial small subunit ribosomal RNA", at positions 358 to 795 of the family's 1533-position model. The record is from RNAcentral.
GGAAUUUUCCGCAAUGGGCGAAAGCCUGACGCAGCAACGCCGCGUGAGUGAUGAAGGCCUUCGGGUCGUAAAGCUCUGUCGCAGGAGGGCGGUGGGAUGACGGUACUCUGCAAGAAAGCCCCGGCCAACUCCGUGCCAGCAGCCGCGGUAAAACGGAGGGGGCGAGCGUUGUUCGGAAUUACUGGGCGUAAAGGGCGCGUAGGCGGUCAUGCAAGUCGGGGGUGGAAGCCCACGGCUUAACCGUGGAAUUGCCUUCGAAACUGCAUGACCUGAGUACGGAAGAGGAGAGCGGAAUUCCCAGUGUAGCGGUGAAAUGCGUAGAUAUUGGGAGGAACACCGGUGGCGAAGGCGGCUCUCUGGUCCGAAACUGACGCUGAGGCGCGAAAGCUAGGGGAGCAAACGGGAUUAGAUACCCCAGUAGUC